UUCUCCAUCGUUUCGUUCCGCGGAAAACCCUAAUUUUCUCUCUCUCUAUCUCUCUCUCUAUUACCGUCGACCAUUAAGUUUAUUUGAAGGGGAAAUAUGGUUUUGUACAUAUAAUUUUGUUUCGGUGGUGCUUGGAUUUGAUUUGGAACACCGAGACAGAAGAUUGGCAAUUUUCGGGAUAUAAAGGGCUAUUUUUUGUUUGAUUUGAUCUAUAGAGUUUGGGUUGUGAUAUUGCGGUGUUCGUGUGAGGCUUCUGCAAUGGCGAACCGGACGGAGACUGGGAUGAAGCGCGAGUUCGCAAUGAUGAUGAAGGCUCAAGCCGAAUGCGGGAUCUGUAUUGGUCAGAAGAGAAGAAGGUUACUCGGUCUCAGAAUGGGGCUUUAAACGGUAGAGCUUCGAUUAGUCCCCAAAAUGGUAGUAGGACUAAGAGCUCUACCGUGAAAAGGCGGAAGAAG
Molecule: long non-coding RNA, 455 nt
Organism: Ipomoea triloba (trilobed morning glory)
Lineage: Eukaryota; Viridiplantae; Streptophyta; Magnoliopsida; Solanales; Convolvulaceae
Exons: 2
Source: RefSeq, a predicted model, not a curated record